Non-coding RNA from Rattus norvegicus (Norway rat), 507 nucleotides. The record is from RefSeq and is a predicted model, not a curated record. Lineage: Eukaryota; Metazoa; Chordata; Mammalia; Rodentia; Muridae.
UUAACCACCUCCAAUGUUUGAACAGCUCACAAAUGUGUGCAGAGUCAGAGUCUUAGCUGCUUGAAGGAUGGUUUUCUAUGUCUGCCACAAUCCAGACAGCAGAUGUGUGUUUCCAACGAGGUGGCUGCAGACAAGAAGACCUGACCACCUCCCAGCUAAAUCCUUAUUUUCCUCCUUUCAACAGGUUGCUGCUCGGGAUCUCCCCUCAGUAACUUUCUUCAGCUUGCUUUGAAAAGGAGAGAAGGCCUCCAGUGCAUCCCAAAGGCCUUUCUGACUUUGGGCAACAAGGAGUAUCACUAUUUGGAGGUGUGGACUUGGAACAGGUUUGUCACUGUGGGCCUAGAAGUCAAUCAGUCUUCCAAGAGCAGCCUUCAAAGGAAGAUGUAGAACUCUGAGCUCCGCCUGCACCAUGCCUGCCUGGAUGCUGCCCUGCUCCUGCCUUGAUGAUAAUGGGCUGAAUCUCUGAACCUGUAAGCCAGCCCCAAUUAAAUGCUGUCCUUUAUUAGA